Lemur catta (Ring-tailed lemur) is the source of this 2127-nucleotide long non-coding RNA. RefSeq lists it as uncharacterized. The transcript is spliced from 3 exons. Lineage: Eukaryota; Metazoa; Chordata; Mammalia; Primates; Lemuridae. The record is from RefSeq and is a predicted model, not a curated record.
UCCUACCGGGAAGAGGUAGGCGAAGCGGUGGCGGGCGCGAAGGGCAAGCCCCGGGGCGACGCGGCGACGCGUCCCUUCCCCGACUUGGAUUCGCAAGCGCUUCCCAGCUGUCGGGACCCAGAACUGCCCGGGCAACACCGUGGGGCCGAGCCCCCCAGCCUCCCGCGGGGCAGCCCCACGUCCCCGGCGGGCAGGGGACACAGCCCCAGAUCCAGGCCGGACGACAAAGACUCUUUACCCGAGAGCUUCCCAGGAGCAAUGUGCGGUUUCAGGGCUUUACGUGUCCGGUAAUCCUCACAAGGGCCUUACAGAAGGAGGAAACUGAGGCACCGGGAGGCUGGCCGACUUGUUCAGGUCACAUGCAUAGUCUGGCCUCACCGCCCAGCUGGUGACUACUGAAGGGGAGUGCGGGGUCUGCCCCAGAGAAGAGAUAGUAAGUAAUCCAUUGCCUACAUUCCCCGCAUAAAUAUCAUCCCCAAUUAUUUAAAUGUCCCGGAAAUCCAGAGGAAUGAAAUUAAGGAAGACGUUUUGUAUCGGCUCCUCGCCUUAGGACUGGCCAGCUUCCAGUUGGUGGCGCCAUCGCCUGUGAGUUGCCUGUGUACUUUUAUCCAUUUCACAUCUUCAUGCCUCUGAGCCUGAUAGGCGUUCCUUCCUCCCCACCUUGCAAACUCAAUUAACCAUCGCUUAAAACCCACCUAAAUGCCAUCUCCUGCAUGAAGCCCUCAGCAGCCCCAGCCAGGAGAACCGCUGUUGGGAUACUUGUCACGAUGCGUGGAAAUUAUUGUUUCCCUGUUUGUCCCCUUCUCAAUCCAGGUGUGUUUUCCAGAGUGGGACACUUCCCAGAAUCCCCUGGAGAGCCUCAAAGGCUUAUCAGGAUGGGACAAGGUGCAUCUGAAAAAGCUGUCUAGGUGAUUCCAAUAUGCCCCCUCCCAUACACACCCCAGGUGAGACCCACUGCUCAGAUGUGGGGUUGCUAGGUCAGCACCGUGGCUCAUCUAUCGCCACAUCUCAGCACCCAGCUGAGGCCAAGGGUGUGGAAUGCGACUGGAUUCACAAGACUCACCUGCUCAUUACAUUAGGAGUGUUUCAGAACAGUGUGUCAGUGGGGGCAGAGAGCAUGCCCCGGCCUCAGGUUAGAGACCUACCAGACCACCAUGAGACAGCACGUGACCCUGCGGAUGGCUGGGGUGCGGAAGAGGUCCAGGAUCGAGUUGGAGGUGCGGACACUUGCAAACUCGCUCUGGAUGUAGGAGCUCACCACCUGGGUGAGGAAAGUCUGUUCAGGGGAAGUGAGGGAUCUGAGACCGUAUGUCCCUGCAGGAGGAGGCGAGCUGGGGUUGAGGUCUCUGGCAAGAUGGCCUACUGUCCUUUCUGUCCUGGGACUGACAGCCCUCGCCCAGCUGUCCCCAGGGCUUUGUUUGAGAUGAAGGAGAGGCUCCAGCACGAGUCCCAGCACUCCUGGGGUUCUGUGGCUCUGGAGCGCUACCCCCCGCCCGGUAUAGACUUGGAGACGGAUAAGAGCUGUGGUUGCAAGUGACUCUCCCACUGCCCACUGUGUGUUCUCAGGCAAGUUACCUGGCCCGCCCACACUUCAGUUUCCCCACUGACAAAACAAGGCAUUAAAUGAGAUUAGAUGGAGAGACUGAUGAACAAAGCAGUUCAAUUUAUUCAUCCCAGAUCACACAGCCAUUCAAUGUUCAAACAAUGUCCUUCUCACACCGGAACUCUGCCUGUCCUGCUUAUUCCCAAGCUCUACGCCUGGCAGGCAGGUUCCGCAUAGCUAACUGGGACUUGCCGUGAAGGAGGAGCCAGCGGGAUGACUCUGGCAGCCACCUGGGACCAAGAGAAAGAAGAAGGAUCCAGGAUGGGGUGGAGUUCAUUCUGUUCCCCAAACUCAAGUACAGCUUCAUCCACCUUCUUCUAUCCCCUAAAAAAGGUGAAUUGUCCUCCUGUCUGCAGAAUCAGGAAGACUGGGGGACAGGCCAGCUUCCCUUUUUUUACAGCACAUCAUUCAGAGACUCACUGAAGUCUACUUAGAGACUACAGAUGACAGGGGACUUCAACAAACCCAGUUCUGAAUCUGUUUCUGACCCCAGCUGUGUGGCCUUGAAUAAACUACGGACCCUC